This 460-nucleotide ribosomal RNA is filed under the name uncultured bacterium. Its description in RNAcentral is "partial 16S ribosomal RNA". It matches the Rfam family "Bacterial small subunit ribosomal RNA", at positions 338 to 795 of the family's 1533-position model. The record is from RNAcentral.
CCUACGGGAGGCAGCAGUGAGGAAUAUUGGUCAAUGGGCGCGAGCCUGAACCAGCCAAGUAGCGUGAAGGAUGACUGCCCUACGGGUUGUAAACUUCUUUUAUAAAGGAAUAAAGUGAGGCACGUGUGCCUCUUUUGAUGUACUUUGUGAAUAAGGCUCGGCUAACUCCCUUCCAGCCACCGCGGGAAUACGGGGGAUCCGAGCGUUAUCCGGCUUUUUUUGGUUUAAAGGGAUGGUUGAUGGGUUGUUAAGGCAGUUGUGAAAGUUUGCGGCUCAACCGCAAAAUUGCAAUUGAUACUGGCAGUCUUGAGUAGAGGAGAGGUAUGCGGAAGUCGUGGUGUAGCGGUGAAAUGCUUAGAUAUCACGAAGAACUCCGAUUGCGAAGGCAGCAUACCAACCUGCGACUGACAUUGAUGCUCGAAAGUGUGGGUAUCAAACAGGAUUAGAUACCCCAGUAGUC